UACGUAGGGUGCAGGCGUUAAUCGGAAUUACUGGGCGUAAAGCGUGCGCAGGCGGUCUUUUAAGUCAGAUGUGAAAUCCCCGGGCUUAACCUGGAAACUGCGUUUGAAACUGGAAGGCUUGAGUGUGGCAGAGGGGGGUGGAAUUCCACGUGUAGCAGUGAAAUGCGUAGAGAUGUGGAGGAACACCGAUGGCGAAGGCAGCCCCCUGGGCUAACACUGACGCUCAUGCACGAAAGCGUGGGGAGCAAACAGG
RNAcentral lists this ribosomal RNA (253 nucleotides) under uncultured bacterium. RNAcentral's name for it is "partial 16S ribosomal RNA". It matches the Rfam family "Bacterial small subunit ribosomal RNA", at positions 524 to 776 of the family's 1533-position model. The record is from RNAcentral.